GACGAACGCUGGCGGCGUGCCUAAUACAUGCAAGUCGAGCGGACUUUCAAGAAGCUUGCUUUUUGAAAGUUAGCGGCGGACGGGUGAGUAACACGUGGGCAACCUGCCUGCAAGACGGGGAUAACUCCGGGAAACCGGGGCUAAUACCGGAUAAUAUCUUCCUUCGCAUGAAGGAAGGUUGAAAGGCGGCGCAAGCUGCCGCUUGCAGAUGGGCCCGCGGCGCAUUAGCUAGUUGGUGAGGUAACGGCUCACCAAGGCGACGAUGCGUAGCCGACCUGAGAGGGUGAUCGGCCACACUGGGACUGAGACACGGCCCAGACUCCUACGGGAGGCAGCAGUAGGGAAUCUUCCGCAUUGGACGAAAGUCUGACGGAGCAACGCCGCGUGAGCGAAGAAGGUCUUCGGAUCGUAAAGCUCUGUUGUCAGGGAAGAACAAGUACCGUUCGAACAGGGCGGUACCUUGACGGUACCUGACCAGAAAGCCACGGCUAACUACGUG
This 499-nucleotide ribosomal RNA is filed under the name uncultured bacterium. RNAcentral describes it as "partial 16S ribosomal RNA". It matches the Rfam family "Bacterial small subunit ribosomal RNA", at positions 28 to 507 of the family's 1533-position model. The record is from RNAcentral.